RNAcentral lists this ribosomal RNA (468 nucleotides) under uncultured bacterium. Its description in RNAcentral is "partial 16S ribosomal RNA". It matches the Rfam family "Bacterial small subunit ribosomal RNA", at positions 28 to 507 of the family's 1533-position model. The record is from RNAcentral.
GACGAACGCUGGCGGCGUGCUUAACACAUGCAAGUCGAACGGAAAGGCCCUGCUUUUGUGGGGUGCUCGAGUGGCGAACGGGUGAGUAACACGUGAGUAACCUGCCCUUGACUUUGGGAUAACUUCAGGAAACUGGGGCUAAUACCGGAUAGGAGCUCCUGCUGCAUGGUGGGGGUUGGACAGUUUCGGCGGUUGGGGAUGGACUCGCGGCUUAUCAGCUUGUUGGUGGGGUAGUGGCUUACCAAGGCUUUGACGGGUAGCCGGCCUGAGAGGGUGACCGGCCACAUUGGGACUGAGAUCCGGCCCAGACUCCUAGGGGAGGCAGCGGUGGGGAAUAUUGCACAAUGUGCGGAAGCCUGAUGCAGCAACGUCGCGGGCGGGAUGACGGCCUUCGGGUUGUAAACCGCUUUCGCCUGUGACGAAGCGAGAGUGACGGUAAUGGGUAAAGAUGCACCGGCUAACUACGUG